CGUGGCGAACGGGUGCGUAACACGUGGAUAACCUUCCUUGAGGUGGGGAAUAACCCAGUGAAAACUGGGCUAAUACCGCAUAACAUGACGAUGGCACAUGCCGUUGUCUUCAAAGGCGCAAGUCGCCACAAGAGGGAUCCGCGGCCGAUUAGCCUGUUGGCGAGGUAAUGGCUCACCAAGGCAAUGAUCGGUAGCCGGACUGAGAGGUUGGCCGGCCACACUGGAACUGAGACACGGUCCAGACUCCUACGGGAGGCAGCAGUGGGGAAUCUUGCACAAUGGACGAAAGUCUGAUGCAGCAACGCCGCGUGGGGGAUGAAGCUUCUCGGAGUGUAAACCCCUUUCGACCCGGAAGAAUGCCCGCAAGGGCUUGACGGUACGGGUAUAAGAAGCCCCGGCUAACUACGUGCCAGCAGCCGCGGUAAUACGUAGGGGGCCAGCGUUGCUCGGAAUUACUGGGCGUAAAGGGUCCGUAGGCGGUGUGGCAAGUCGGGAGUGAAAUCUCUAGGCUUAACCUAGAGGCUGCUUCCGAAACUGCCAUGCUAGAGUGUGAGAGAGGCGAGUGGAAUUACGGGUGUAGCGGUGAAAUGCGUAGAUAUCCGUAGGAACAUCCGAGGCGAAGGCGGCUCGCUGGAUCACAAC
This 642-nucleotide ribosomal RNA is filed under the name uncultured bacterium. Its description in RNAcentral is "bacterial SSU rRNA". It matches the Rfam family "Bacterial small subunit ribosomal RNA", at positions 94 to 740 of the family's 1533-position model. The record is from RNAcentral.